CGCUGCUACGUAGAAUGGGGUGCUACCUGCUCAGUGGAUUGCGAUUAAAACUUUAGGAACAAAGAACAAAGCAAUUUAAACAGCCGGGGAAAGCCUAAACCCUGUGAAAUAAGCAUAAUCUGAUACCGUUUAAUUGACGGAGUGUUGAAUGGACGAACGAGCGCAGUACUGUCUCUGGUUGAGGUGAAAUUGAAAUUGGCAUGGUAGUGAAGAGGCUACCUAAAGCAGAAGGACGAAAAGACCCUAUGAAGCUUUACUCUAAACAUACAGAAAUCACACGAUACUUUUAAUUCUUAUUUAGUUAUAUUUUUCUUAGAUUAUUAAAUGUUACAAGAAGUAAUAACCUAUACUUGUUGUAGUUAUUGGGUUAUUGAGGAGAAUUUUAAUUAUUUAUCUACCUGUACAUUGGUUUUAUGUAUUAGUGUAAUAUUAUAAUAAACUAGCUAGAUUACGUUUAAGAGUUAUAACCCUCACAAAAAGGUCUUAUUAAGUGAGUGAGUGUAUGUUUGUGAGUUUGGGUGGGGUGCCCACACUUUAUAUAAAAACAAGUGUUAUUAAUAGUUAAGUAAUAAAUAGACUGAGUAGAUUACAUACUUACCCAGAGACAAAAGUCGGAAAAAUGACCCGCUUAUCUAGUAAUUGAUAUACACAUGAAUUAAAAUAAAAGGCCGUAAAAGGAUAAAAGCUACUCUAGGGAUAACAGGCUAAUUAUGACUUGGGGGUUAUCGACCUGGGUUGUUGUUUGGCA
RNAcentral lists this ribosomal RNA (748 nucleotides) under Muggiaea bargmannae. RNAcentral describes it as "partial 16S ribosomal RNA". It matches the Rfam family "Bacterial large subunit ribosomal RNA", at positions 1829 to 2523 of the family's 2925-position model. Lineage: Eukaryota; Metazoa; Cnidaria; Hydrozoa; Siphonophorae; Diphyidae. The record is from RNAcentral.